GACGAACGCUGGCGGCGUGGAUUAGGCAUGCAAGUCGAACGGUAUCAUCCUUUCGGGGGUGAGAGAGUGGCGAACUGGUGAGUAACACGUAGGUUAUCUACCCUCAAGACGGGGACAACCCAGGGAAACUUGGGCUAAUACCGGAUGUGAGCAACUUUUAGUUGUUUGAAAGGUGGCGUAAGCUGUCGCUUGGGGAUGAGCCUGCGUCCUAUUAGUUAGUUGGUGAGGUAACGGCUCACCUAGGGCAAUGAUAGGUAGGCGGCCUUAACGGGUGGUCGCCCACACUGGGAUUGAGAUACGGCCCAGACUCCUACGGGAGGCAGCAGUCGAGAAUAGUCUACAAUGGUCGGAAGACUGAUAGUGCGACGCCGCGUGAACGAUGAAUCCCUUCGGGGUGUAAAGUUCUUUUAUAUGUGAGCAGUGCUUCUUAUAUUAACAGUAUGGGGAGAGAGAUAUUAAGCAUAUGAAUAAGCAACGGCUAACUCCGUGCCAGCAGCCGCGGU
RNAcentral lists this ribosomal RNA (503 nucleotides) under uncultured bacterium. Its description in RNAcentral is "bacterial SSU rRNA". It matches the Rfam family "Bacterial small subunit ribosomal RNA", at positions 28 to 521 of the family's 1533-position model. The record is from RNAcentral.